UUCUAUGCCUAUACCACCCUGAACACACUGGAUCUCUUCUGAUUUUGGGAGCUAUGCAGGGUUGGGCAUGGUUGAAGGAGAGAGAGAGAGU
RNAcentral lists this ribosomal RNA (91 nucleotides) under Mus pahari (shrew mouse). RNAcentral describes it as "rRNA (MGP_PahariEiJ_G0032781.1)". The record is from RNAcentral. Lineage: Eukaryota; Metazoa; Chordata; Mammalia; Rodentia; Muridae.